UACGUAGGGUGCGAGCGUUAAUCGGAAUUACUGGGCGUAAAGCGUGCGCAGGCGGCCUGAUAAGUCAGAUGUGAAAUCCCCGAGCUCAACUUGGGAACUGCGUUUGAAACUAUCAAGCUAGAAUAUGUCAGAGGGGGGUAGGAAUUCCACGUGUAGCAGUGAAAUGCGUAGAGAUGUGGAGGAAUACCAAUGGCGAAGGCAGCCCCCUGGGAUAAUAUUGACGCUCAUGCNCGAAAGCGUGGGGAGCAAACAGGAUUAGACUA
This 263-nucleotide ribosomal RNA is filed under the name uncultured bacterium. Its description in RNAcentral is "partial 16S ribosomal RNA". It matches the Rfam family "Bacterial small subunit ribosomal RNA", at positions 524 to 785 of the family's 1533-position model. The record is from RNAcentral.